Molecule: long non-coding RNA, 607 nt
Filed under: Nicotiana benthamiana
Lineage: Eukaryota; Viridiplantae; Streptophyta; Magnoliopsida; Solanales; Solanaceae
Description: long non-coding RNA (NBEN_LNC031871)
Source: RNAcentral
AUUUCUUCAUUUUACUCUGUAAUAAUAUUUCUCUCAUCUUUCAGAGAGUUUCAAAACGCUCUGCCUUCUCUCUACUUUAUCUCUCUAGAUUUUCUAUGAUUUCUCGGUCUAAUAUCAAUGUUUACAUGGUAUCAGAGCCUAGACGACGAUCCGAUUGUGUUUCUCUACUUCUCGUUGUCUUGGUUGAACUCUUUUUGAGAUUUUCUAGGGCUUUUUCUGAGACCUUAUGGUCGAUGAUGGCUUUGACCUAGAUCGGAUGUUUUUCCGAGCUUUUCGUCAUGAUAUUUGAGUAUAUUCUCUUCACCCGAACAUUCUGAGAGUUUUUCUGAUGAUUUUGGAUGGUUUCUCAGUGACCUAUCGGCUUCUAGGGUUUCUGGUGGUUUAACCUAGGGUUGUACUGCUUUCCGGUGGCUCGAUUCUCACUCAGUGAACGUUUUGGGUUCCUCUCCGACGUUCCUGACCACAUUUCCAGUAAGGAUUUUCAAGGUUACACCUAGGGUUUGAUACCUAGGGUUUCUCUAUUGUUUGAAGGCCGAUCUUCUCCGUCGCGAAGAAGGAGGGUAACUCUGUCCUUAUCUUCGGUAUUAUAUGUGAUUAUCUGACUUUG